Molecule: long non-coding RNA, 945 nt
Organism: Triticum dicoccoides
Lineage: Eukaryota; Viridiplantae; Streptophyta; Magnoliopsida; Poales; Poaceae
Exons: 6
Source: RefSeq, a predicted model, not a curated record
GAUUCGUCUUGUCGUCCUCCCCGGCAUUCGCAUAGGUCAGGCUCGUGGGGUUGGUGAGUGACAAGGCGGGGAGGAACACGGAUCUGUCUCCCGCAUCGACUUCAUCAGACGGGAUGAUUUUUCGUGAUGAUGGGGAUCCAUUCUUCUUCCAUGUUGACGCCUCCGGUCCUGCCACGAUUCGUCUUGUCGUCCUCCCCGGCAUUCGCAUAGGUCAGGCUCGUGGGGUUGGUGAGUGACAAGGCGGGGAGGAACACGGAUCUGUCUCCCGCAUCGACUUCAUCAGACGGCAGGUAGGAGGUACAACGGCCAGCGACCGGGACGACACCAACAGCCAAAGGAAGCUUGAGGUCUGCUCCUUCUCCACCAGUAGAGAGGAGCCUCCUUUUUGGGUUCCGCGUGUCUGCUCCGAGCCUACCAGCGCCGAUGCCAUGGAAGAUUUACUCAGGCACGCGAAGCGUAAUGAGGAGCAGCUGCUGGGCGUGAUGUUGAUCGAUCCUAGCCUGUCUUCCGGCUCUCAGUGAUUUGCUCCUCGAGGUGUAUGCCGUGCUGCACCUGAAUCCUGUUGACUACGAGCAGCGGAACGCCUUGUUUGAUGUAUUCAGCAACAUGGCAACUAAAAUCUUUGGUAAGAGAUGAUAUAGUUUGCCUUUGUUACUAAUAAUGUGAUCACUGAAUAGCAUGAUGAACUUGUCGCAGAGUAGAGAAAGAUAACAUCGUCAUGAAUAUUAUCUCUCUUCCAGUUAUACUCCCUCCGUAACUUAAUAUAAGAUGCUUUUUGACACUAUGCCAGUGUCAGAAAACAUAUUAUAUGAAGUUACGGAGGGAGUAGUAAUCAGCGGUUUUACUCUUUGUAUUUGAGAUUUCUCAAAAACUCUCGUUACUUAUGUUAUCUAUCUACUUACGGAGGGAGUAGUAAAACUAAUAAGAAGAAUACCAUUCUUAAUA